ACUAAUGUUGAAAAAUUAGCGGAUGACUUGUGGCUGGGGGUGAAAGGCCAAUCAAACCGGGAGAUAGCUGGUUCUCCCCGAAAGCUAUUUAGGUAGCGCCUCGUGAAUUCAUCUCCGGGGGUAGAGCACUGUUUCGGCAAGGGGGUCAUCCCGACUUACCAACCCGAUGCAAACUGCGAAUACCGGAGAAUGUUAUCACGGGAGACACACGGCGGGUGCUAACGUCCGUCGUGAAGAGGGAAACAACCCAGACCGCCAGCUAAGGUCCCAAAGUCAUGGUUAAGUGGGAAACGAUGUGGGAAGGCCCAGACAGCCAGGAUGUUGGCUUAGAAGCAGCCAUCAUUUAAAGAAAGCGUAAUAGCUCACUGGUCGAGUCGGCCUGCGCGGAAGAUGUAACGGGGCUAAACCAUGCACCGAAGCUGCGGCAGCGACACUAUGUGUUGUUGGGUAGGGGAGCGUUCUGUAAGCCUGUGAAGGUGUACUGUGAGGUAUGCUGGAGGUAUCAGAAGUGCGAAUGCUGACAUAAGUAACGAUAAAGCGGGUGAAAAGCCCGCUCGCCGGAAGACCAAGGGUUCCUGUCCAACGUUAAUCGGGGCAGGGUGAGUCGACCCCUAAGGCGAGGCCGAAAGGCGUAGUCGAUGGGAAACAGGUUAAUAUUCCUGUACUUGGUGUUACUGCGAAGGGGGGACGGAGAAGGCUAUGUUGGCCGGGCGACGGUUGUCCCGGUUUAAGCGUGUAGGCUGGUUUUCCAGGCAAAUCCGGAAAAUCAAGGCUGAGGCGUGAUGACGAGGCACUACGGUGCUGAAGCAACAAAUGCCCUGCUUCCAGGAAAAGCCUCUAAGCAUCAGGUAACAUCAAAUCGUACCCCAAACCGACACAGGUGGUCAGGUAGAGAAUACCAAGGCGCUUGAGAGAACUCGGGUGAAGGAACUAGGCAAAAUGGUGCCGUAACUUCGGGAGAAGGCACGCUGAUAUGUAGGUGAAGCGACUUGCUCGUGGAGCUGAAAUCAGUCGAAGAUACCAGCUGGCUGCAACUGUUUAUUAAAAACACAGCACUGUGCAAACACGAAAGUGGACGUAUACGGUGUGACGCCUGCCCGGUGCCGGAA
RNAcentral lists this ribosomal RNA (1109 nucleotides) under Escherichia coli. Its description in RNAcentral is "partial 23S ribosomal RNA". It matches the Rfam family "Bacterial large subunit ribosomal RNA", at positions 782 to 1874 of the family's 2925-position model. Lineage: Bacteria; Pseudomonadati; Pseudomonadota; Gammaproteobacteria; Enterobacterales; Enterobacteriaceae. The record is from RNAcentral.